This is a long non-coding RNA of Meleagris gallopavo (turkey), 512 nucleotides long. The record is from Ensembl. Lineage: Eukaryota; Metazoa; Chordata; Aves; Galliformes; Phasianidae.
AUGCUCCUGAUCGAGCUGUUCCUAGGCCGCACGCCAUGGCCAGCCUUCAUGAAUAGUGAACAGCAUCCCAAACCUCUGCAGCUGACAGAAAAAAAGGAAAGCAGAGUCAUCAGAGAGGCAAACAGAAGCCAUAUCUUUUGGGUUGUGGUUCUACAGGUGAAAGACAGGGGCUUGCCUUUCCUGCAGUGAGGCUGCAGACUGGCUGGCAGAAGUGGACAGGAGAAGAGAAGAUCUCUCAAAAGAUCCUACACCCUUUCUCUUCAGCUGGCAGUGCCUUCAAGUCCCACUGUUCCAUUUCUAAUGUCACAUAUCUGCGCUAUCUCUACAGUGUCAUGCAUGAGGUCAUGAAUGUUAGCUGCAGCAAGUUCCACUUUGAAUUCACAUUUUGUACAUGUUAAGAAUUUCAUUAAUAAAAACUAAAAAUACUAUUUAUGCAGAAAAUCAAGCAAUGUUGUUAAAAUAUAAUUACAUAUUUCAGGAUCCAAAUUCAAAUGGAGUAAUUCUCCUCUUUU